This 186-nucleotide ribosomal RNA is filed under the name Canis lupus (wolf). Its description in RNAcentral is "partial small subunit ribosomal RNA". Lineage: Eukaryota; Metazoa; Chordata; Mammalia; Carnivora; Canidae. The record is from RNAcentral.
CUAUGCUUAGCCCUAAACAUAGAUAAUUUUACAACAAAAUAAUUCGCCAGAGGACUACUAGCAAUAGCUUAAAACUCAAAGGACUUGGCGGUGCUUUAUAUCCCUCUAGAGGAGCCUGUUCUAUAAUCGAUAAACCCCGAUAAACCUCACCACCUUUCGCUAAUUCAGUCUAUAUACCGCCAUCUU